This is a long non-coding RNA of Xiphophorus maculatus (southern platyfish), 420 nucleotides long. RefSeq lists it as uncharacterized. Lineage: Eukaryota; Metazoa; Chordata; Actinopteri; Cyprinodontiformes; Poeciliidae. The record is from RefSeq and is a predicted model, not a curated record. The transcript has 4 exons.
UGGCAGAGCUUGAGGCGCUCAGACAGCAGCGGGUGAGGGAGGACCUGCUCUCGGAUGCGGCGCAGCAGCUCGAUGCGGUACAGGAAGAAAAGCAUCCCGACAGUACAAUGCUGCCAACAGUGUUUCACCUUGAGAAUCGUGUGUUCAUGGUGACGAGAAAAGCCGCACAUUCGGCAUGUUGUCCAAAAAGCCGGGCAAACGCUCUGAACUGGGUCCAAUCAAACUUUUGACGCUGCGUAUCAAACACGACUCCAAAGGUGGACACAACGCGGUAGAAGUCUGCCUCCUCACGACGCGUCCACCUGAAAAAAGAUAAAAACAAAUACCCAUAAGGGAUCCAUCAGACAUCAGGGAGUUGGCCGUCAUCACUGGCGAAGCCUCUGGCAGAAACUGACCACCUUUGGCAAAAUAAGCUCUUCC